CACAAAAUGACAGGCACUGUUUUACUCCUCUUUGAUCAUGAGUGAGACUACACAGCAUUUCAUAUUAACUGACCAUUCAUUAUUCCUCUGGCCAAAACGAAGUGUAUACCUGUGUAUACGCCACAGCCAGCAGAGUCACUGCGGCCAUCUUGGUCCUUCGAGGGAGGGGAAUUCUCCGGGACAGGAAGUAGAGCGCUGUAACGGCAGUGACUGAAGUGAUUCCCUGCGAGGAGGAAAGAGUCUCAUCAAGUGCCAGGAAGAAACGUCCCACCCUCCCGAUUUCCGCUCGCCUUCCAGAACCAGUCCAUCUGGCUUCCCUGUGGGGUGACUACCAAGUCAACAUCUCCUGUCCUUAUUGGGAUCCAGGCCACCGGCUCCAAGUACGUAUUGCAUGAUUCUACUAGAGAGUCCUACUGCCAUCCCAAA
This is a long non-coding RNA of Molossus molossus (Pallas's mastiff bat), 426 nucleotides long. RefSeq lists it as uncharacterized. The transcript has 3 exons. The record is from RefSeq and is a predicted model, not a curated record. Lineage: Eukaryota; Metazoa; Chordata; Mammalia; Chiroptera; Molossidae.